AUGUCGGCGGCCGUGGCGUGCGCAGAGAGGGCGACGAGCGACAUGCUGAUCGGGCCCGACUGGGCCGUCAACAUCGAGCUCUGCGACAUCAUCAACAUGGAUCCCGGACAAGCAAAGGAUGCGCUUAAGCUCCUAAAGAAGCGCCUUGGGAAUAAGAAUUCAAAAGUGCAAAUUCUGGCCCUUUAUGUGCUAGAGACUCUAAGCAAAAAUUGCGGGGAUAUUGUUUACCAACAAAUCAUUGAGCGUGAUAUACUAAGUGAAAUGGUUAAGAUAGUAAAGAAAAAGCCAGACUUAAACGUUCGGGAGAAAAUAUUGAGUCUGAUUGACACAUGGCAAGUGGCUUUUGGAGGUCCUUCCGGGAGAUAUCCCCAGUACCACACUGCGUACCAAGAACUCAGGGCAGCUGGUGUCGAUUUUCCGCCUCGCGAGGAGAAUACAGUUCCACUGUUUACACCUCCUCAGACUCAACCUUUGAGGCAGCCACAUCUAUAUCCUCCAGGUCAAAGCUAUGAAGAUGUAGCUAUACAAGCUUCUCUCCAAUCUAGUACCCCUGCUGCACCUCCCCUGAGUCUAAGCGAGAUCCAGAGUGCUCGAGGAAUUGUGGAUGUGCUGGAUGAGAUGUUAAAUGCACUUGACCACAGACACCCAGAGGGUGUGAGGGAGGAGGUCAUUGUUGACCUUGUUGGGCAGUGUCGUUCUUAUCAUGCUCGUGUGAUGGAUCUUGUUAGCGAUACUGGUGAUGAGAGCCUUCUGUUUCAGGCUCUAGGACUAAAUGAUGAGUUGCAGCGUGUUCUUCAGCGUUAUGAUGACAUAGCAAAAGGAGUCCCUCCAAAUAUACCAGUGCCUGUUGCUGGUAACAUAAACCAAGGGACAGCCCCUCCUCGGCCUGCUGGUGCUUCAUUUGCCCCCCUUCUUAAUGUACACCAUGAGGACGAUGAACCAGAAGAUGAGUUCUCCGUGCUUUCCCGCAGGUCUGCAAGGGAUGGCGCAGCAGCACAGGGCAACAUGUCUUCUGUUCCAAGAAAUGAAAGGCCAUACCCAAGCCCACUUCUUCCUCCACCACCAUCGACAAAAAGGCCUGUUUACACAGAGGCAAGCAGUGUCGACUAUCUAAGUGGGGACUCCUAUAAGUCUGAAAAAGUACCAGAUGAUUUUGUCAACCCAACGGCCCCAGCCAAUAUGUCUGCACCAUCUCAUUCAAAAACAGAAACAGAUCAAGUGCCAAAUUAUGAUAGCAGGUCAGAAAAUGUGCCUGAUGAAUUCAUAAACCCAACUGCAGCACCCAGUUUUUCCAUGCCUUCUCGCCCUAUGAGUGAGCCAUCUGUGAAUAAGCUUGAGAGCCUUCCUGACGAUGACUUUAUAAACCCCACUGCGCUGCCUGGUUUUUCUUCAUCGUCAACUAGUGAAGAUCUUCCAAAAGCUCCAUGGGAAGCGCAAGCUCCAGUUUCCCUACCGCCUCCUCCUGCAAGGUAUGGCCAAAGACAGCAGUUCUUUGAGCAACAACAUGGCUUUCCUGGUGAGAACAAUGAAGGGGGCUACGAUGAGAUGCUGACGCGGACAGGAAGCCUUUCUCUUAAUCAAAGGAACACUGAGAAUGGGAAGAGCGCAUCAGUGUCGACCGCAUCCCGCCAGCCCAAACCUGAGGAUGCCCUUUUCAAGGAUCUUGUUGAUUUUGCCAAGAAGAAUCCAUCUUCUCCAUCUAAACCAGCCAACAGCCGCAGGACUCGCUGA
This 1731-nucleotide ribosomal RNA is filed under the name Triticum aestivum (bread wheat). Its description in RNAcentral is "partial small subunit ribosomal RNA". The record is from RNAcentral. Lineage: Eukaryota; Viridiplantae; Streptophyta; Magnoliopsida; Poales; Poaceae.